Molecule: ribosomal RNA, 798 nt
Filed under: uncultured bacterium
Lineage: Bacteria
Description: bacterial SSU rRNA
Rfam family: Bacterial small subunit ribosomal RNA
Source: RNAcentral
AGAGUUUGAUCCUGGCUCAGGAUGAACGCUGGCGGCGUGCUUAACACAUGCAAGUCGAGCGAAGCACAUAAGUUUGAUUCUUCGGAUGAAGACUUUUGUGACUGAGCGGCGGACGGGUGAGUAACGCGUGGGUAACCUGCCUCAUACAGGGGGAUAACAGUUAGAAAUGGCUGCUAAUACCGCAUAAGACCACAGUACUGCAUGGUACAGUGGUAAAAACUCCGGUGGUAUGAGAUGGACCCGCGUCUGAUUAGGUAGUUGGUGGGGUAACGGCCUACCAAGCCAACGAUCAGUAGCCGACCUGAGAGGGUGACCGGCCACAUUGGGACUGAGACACGGCCCAAACUCCUACGGGAGGCAGCAGUGGGGAAUAUUGCACAAUGGGGGAAACCCUGAUGCAGCGACGCCGCGUGAGCGAAGAAGUAUUUCGGUAUGUAAAGCUCUAUCAGCAGGGAAGAAAAUGACGGUACCUGACUAAGAAGCACCGGCUAAAUACGUGCCAGCAGCCGCGGUAAUACGUAUGGUGCAAGCGUUAUCCGGAUUUACUGGGUGUAAAGGGAGCGUAGACGGCUGUGUAAGUCUGAAGUGAAAGCCCGGGGCUCAACCCCGGGACUGCUUUGGAAACUAUGCAGCUAGAGUGUCGGAGAGGUAAGUGGAAUUCCCAGUGUAGCGGUGAAAUGCGUAGAUAUUGGGAGGAACACCAGUGGCGAAGGCGGCUUACUGGACGAUGACUGACGUUGAGGCUCGAAAGCGUGGGGAGCAAACAGGAUUAGAUACCCUGGUAGUCCACGCCGUAAA